UGGAAUGCGAUUUUGUUAAUAAAAAAAAUACUUAUAACUGAUGCAAAACCCAAGAGAGGCAUUUAUAUUUAUUUCUUUUGCGUUCAUUUUCAAAUUCGCCGUGCAUAUAUUUUUGUGCAUGGCGCUUGAGAGGGCAUCACGUGACUAAAAACGACCAACCAACGACCUCGCUUCGGCCAUCUUGGCAUCUUCAUCUUGGCGACCUUGCCUUGCCGUGGAUUGUUUUUAGUUGUUUGUAUUAUUUGUGCUUUUUAAGAAUAUUUUUUUAAUUCGGAUACUUUUAUAAUAGCUUUAAUAGUAUUAUUAACAUAGUGCAUAAAAUGGUGUCCUGUUUUUAACGCAGUUGGAGUAGCAGAAACAAAUGUAGAUAAAAAAAUCUGCAGGAAUAACGUUUCAAUUAUGACAGAAGCCAUAGCCACCUUUACUUUACGGUGGCUAUGCAGAAGCUCAAAACAAAUGACUGUGAAUGAAAAGCCCUAUUAAAAGCUUUCCAGAAGAUCCUGCGAAGAAGACAUGAAGUAUAGAUCAGAUUUGUUAAUAGAGGAGUAUGUUCAAAACACUUUUUAGAAAAAGAUAUUGACAGAACUUCACUUUCAUCUGUUCGUUUGAGAGACUGUGCUGUUCCAAUAGCUUAUGUCACACAGAAUCAGCUGAGAGAAGUGGUCUACAAAAAACCAGAAAGGAAACGGAAUAUGUGGCUACGAAAAGCAAAAGAAAGGUUUACAAAGCAAAUGUGACACAUUUUUUUAUAAUAUUUAGGAAUGUCAGCAAAUUACAUUAAAAAAUGUAUAUAAAGAUUUUUUGCAAUAAAAAUGUUUAUAUUUA
Molecule: long non-coding RNA, 825 nt
Organism: Diabrotica virgifera virgifera (western corn rootworm)
Lineage: Eukaryota; Metazoa; Arthropoda; Insecta; Coleoptera; Chrysomelidae
Exons: 3
Source: RefSeq, a predicted model, not a curated record